CGGACGGGUGAGUAAUGCUUGGGAAUCUGGCUUAUGGAGGGGGAUAACUACGGGAAACUGUAGCUAAUACCGCGUAGUAUCGGAAGAUGAAAGUGUGGGACCGCAAGGCCACAUGCCAUGAGAUGAGCCCAAGUGGGAUUAGGUAGUUGGUUAGGUAAAGGCUGACCAAGCCGACGAUCUCUAGCUGGUCUGAGAGGAUGACCAGCCACACUGGAACUGAGACACGGUCCAGACUCCCUACGGAGGCAGCAGUGGGGAAUAUUGCACAAUGGGGGGAACCCUGAUGCAGCCAUGCCGCGUGAAUGA
Molecule: ribosomal RNA, 306 nt
Filed under: uncultured bacterium
Lineage: Bacteria
Description: bacterial SSU rRNA
Rfam family: Bacterial small subunit ribosomal RNA
Source: RNAcentral